GUGGGGAAUAUUGCACAAUGGGGGAAACCCUGAUGCAGCCAUGCCGCGUGUGUGAAGAAGGCCUUCGGGUUGUAAAGCACUUUCAGCGAGGAGGAAAGGAUGCUGGCUAAUAUCCAGCAUCUGUGACGUUACUCGCAGAAGAAGCACCGGCUAACUCCGUGCCAGCAGCCGCGGUAAUACGGAGGGUGCAAGCGUUAAUCGGAAUUACUGGGCGUAAAGCGCACGCAGGCGGUUGGAUAAGUUAGAUGUGAAAGCCCCGGGCUCAACCUGGGAAUUGCAUUUAAAACUGUCCAGCUAGAGUCUUGUAGAGGGGGGUAGAAUUCCAGGUGUAGCGGUGAAAUGCGUAGAGAUCUGGAGGAAUACCGGUGGCGAAGGCGGCCCCCUGGACAAAGACUGACGCUCAGGUGCGAAAGCGUGGGGAGCAAACAGGAUUAGAUACCCCUGUAGUCC
Molecule: ribosomal RNA, 450 nt
Filed under: uncultured bacterium
Lineage: Bacteria
Description: partial 16S ribosomal RNA
Rfam family: Bacterial small subunit ribosomal RNA
Source: RNAcentral